RNAcentral lists this ribosomal RNA (253 nucleotides) under uncultured bacterium. RNAcentral's name for it is "partial 16S ribosomal RNA". It matches the Rfam family "Bacterial small subunit ribosomal RNA", at positions 524 to 776 of the family's 1533-position model. The record is from RNAcentral.
GACGUAGGGUCCAAGCGUUGUCCGGAUUUACUGGGCGUAAAGGGCGCGUAGGCGGCCUGUUAAGUCGAACGUGAAAUCCCCGGGCUCAACCCGGGAACUGCGUCCGAUACUGGCAGGCUUGAAUCCGGGAGAGGGAUGCGGAAUUCCAGGUGUAGCGGUGAAAUGCGUAGAUAUCUGGAGGAACACCGGUGGCGAAGGCGGCAUCCUGGACCGGCAUUGACGCUGAGGCGCGAAAGCCAGGGGAGCAAACGGG